GUCUGCACAACGCAUCACCAGGGGCAAACUACCUGCCCUCCAGGACACCUACACCACCCGAUGUUACAGGAAGGCCAUAAAGAUCAUCAAGGACAACAACCACCCGAGCCACUGCCUGUUCACCUCGCUAUCAUCCAGAAGGCGAGACCACAUGACCUUCUCCCAUUCCUGCUCUGGAUCAUCCAGAUGGUCAUUGGCAAACUUCAGACGGGCCUGGACAUGCGCUGGCUUGAGCAGGGGGACCUUGCGUGCGCUGCAGGAUUUUAAUCCAUGACUGCAUAGUGUGUUACUAAUGGAUUUCUUUGAGACUGUGGUCCCAGCUCUCUUCAGGUCAUUGACCAGGUCCUGCUGUGUAGUUCUGGGCUGAUCCCUCACUUUCCUCAUGAUCAUUGAUGCCCCACUAGGUGAGAUCUUGCAUGGAGCCCCAGACCGAGGGUGAUUGACCGUCAUCUUGAACUUCUUCCAUUUUUCUAAUAAUUGCGCCAACAGUUGUUGCCUUCUCACCAAGCUGCUUGCCUAUUGUCCUGAAGCCCAUCCCAGCCUUGUGCAGGUCUACAAUUCAACCCUGAUGUCCUUACACAGCUCUCUGGUCUUGGCCAUUGUGGAGAGGUUAGAGUCUGUUUGAUUGAGUGUGUGGACGGGUGUCUUUUAUACAGGUAACGAGUUCAAACAGGUGCAGUUAAUACAGGUAAUGAGUGGAGAACAGGAGGGCUUCUUAAAGGAAAAUUAACAGGUCUGUGAGAGCCGGAAUUCUUACUGGUUGGUAGGUGAUCAAAUACUUAUGUCAUGCAAUAAAAUGCAAAUGAAUUACUUAAAAAUCAUACAAGGUGAUUUUCUGGAUUUUUGUUUUAGAUUCCGUCUUUCACAGUUGAAGUGUACUUAUGAUAAAAAAAAAUACAGGCCUCUACAUGCUUUGUAAGUUGGAAAACCUGCAAAAUCGUCAGUGUAUCAAAUACUUGUUCUCCCCACUGUACAUCAGAUAACAUGGACUGCCACUCAUACAGGUAAAGACACCAGUACAUAACUUACACACAUUUCAGAGUUCAUACUGUAUAUUGUGUAUAUAUUUCCAAUCAACCAUUUUAUUUUUUUUAACAACUUUAUUACUUAGCUAUUUGUGGAUAUUUUUGUUUAGGAGAGCUUGCAAGUAAUCAUUUCACUGUACCGUUUACACCCUGUAUCCUGCGCACGCGACAAAUAAACUUUGAUUUGAUGAUCAACUCACCCUU
Long non-coding RNA from Oncorhynchus keta (chum salmon), 1229 nucleotides. RefSeq lists it as uncharacterized. Lineage: Eukaryota; Metazoa; Chordata; Actinopteri; Salmoniformes; Salmonidae. The transcript has 2 exons. The record is from RefSeq and is a predicted model, not a curated record.